GGACUACCGGGGUAUCUAAUCCCGUUUGCUCCCCUGGCUUUCGCGCCUCAGCGUCAGAAGAGGUCCAGUUGUGCGCUUUCGCCACCGGCGUUCCUUCCGAUAUCAACGCAUUUCACCGCUCCACCGGAAGUUCCCACAACCCCUACCUCACUCGAGUCCGCCAGUAUCAAAGGCACUUCUCCAGUUAAGCUGGAGGCUUUCACCCCUGACUUGGCAGACCGCCUACGCGCCCUUUAAGCCCAGUGAUUCCGAACAACGUUCGCACGGUUCGUCUUACCGCGGCUGCUGGCAC
Molecule: ribosomal RNA, 292 nt
Filed under: uncultured bacterium
Lineage: Bacteria
Also listed under: 2 other names
Description: partial 16S ribosomal RNA
Source: RNAcentral